RNAcentral lists this ribosomal RNA (301 nucleotides) under uncultured bacterium. RNAcentral describes it as "partial 16S ribosomal RNA". It matches the Rfam family "Bacterial small subunit ribosomal RNA", at positions 509 to 807 of the family's 1533-position model. The record is from RNAcentral.
CAGUAGCCGCGGGAUUACAGAGGGUGCGAGCGUUAAUCGGAUUUACUGGGCGUAAAGCGUGCGUAGGCGGCUUUUUAAGUCGGAUGUGAAAUCCCUGAGCUUAACUUAGGAAUUGCAUUCGAUACUGGGAAGCUAGAGUAUGGGAGAGGAUGGUAGAAUUCCAGGUGUAGCGGUGAAAUGCGUAGAGAUCUGGAGGAAUACCGAUGGCGAAGGCAGCCAUCUGGCCUAAUACUGACGCUGAGGUACGAAAGCAUGGGGAGCAAACAGGAUUAGAUACCCCCGUAGUCCCUGUCUCUUAUAC